UUUCAAAUCAUUUUCAUCUCUCUCAUUUUGAUCUUUAGCAUAUCCAUUCAUGUGCAAGUAAUCUUUCCGAUUUGGAUCCUCCAACAGCAUCAUUCCAUCACAAGAAGAUCUUCCAUCAGGCAUUGAUGUUUUUCUCCAUCAUCGUGUUCAAUCCGAUUUUGUUCUCAUGCUACGUUCUUCUCAAACGGUUUUAUUUUUUCCGAUUCAUUCUUCUCAUUCUUCAUCUCCCACUUCUGUAAGUUUCAGUCUUUAUUUGCAAUAUGCAUGUUGUUAUCACUUAUUCAAUAGAUGAAAGUUACUCACUUUAUUUUCCUUUUAUAAUUUAUGCAUGUUUUGUUCUUUGCUAUUGAUUAACUAUUAUUAUCAAAAAUUAUUUUUCUUCAUAAACUUUAAAGUCAUCUCCUUGGUUAUUUCUCUA
Long non-coding RNA from Lotus japonicus, 418 nucleotides. RefSeq lists it as uncharacterized. The transcript has 3 exons. NCBI's taxonomy places the organism in Eukaryota, Viridiplantae, Streptophyta, Magnoliopsida, Fabales, Fabaceae. The record is from RefSeq and is a predicted model, not a curated record.